GUUAGCACCAAGGAGUCAACAGGGCUAUUCUUGCAUCUUGCAAAACAUGCUGGAGGGUUGGUGGGCAAAAGUGAGCGCUGAGCCCAGCCUGUUGGGUUUUCCAUAGGCUGCUGUACAGAAAACAUACUCUGUAGCUGACUGAAAACAUUUUCAAGGUGUUGUUAAGAGGUCUGUACCACAGUGUGCUCUCUGCUUGAGACUGCUUGGAAAGUACUGGAGGUUAGAAAUUCAAGCUCUGUGCAUACAGGUUUUUGCAUUAUAAGAAGAAAAAGUGAAGUACUUCAAUGUUCAGAGCACCUGAAGGGCAGAGAAGAAACAGAGAUAACAAACACCCAUGGAUCGUCUAUGGCUUCAGUGUUGUAUUUUCCCACUCUCCCGUUUCCACUGGUCACCUGAAUGGAGUGCAAGAUAUACCUUUUACUCAAAGCCAGAGAAGAUCGAAAGCACUCAGUAGUUGCACUGCCUUGAUCGCAGCAAUACCAGACCUCUUCAAGAAGUGCAUCAUCACAGAACUCACAUUUAUCUUCCGUGGCUCUCCCUUCUUCCCAGUCCCUGAGAUGAUAACAGAGGAAGAGGAUGUGAUUAGUGUUUCCUGCCACGGGCUGUCAGCUGAGGAAUGAGAACUGUGUGCCAAGAGGAGAAAAGAGCUGCCACAGAUGGAUGAAGCCUGUCCUUUUCAAACAUGAAGCACAGCAAGUCCAAGCUGGAUCCUCGUUCUCCUUGGGGAUCAACCUGCCGUGAUGAUGAGAGAAACAGAGCAAGUCCCCAGCCCUCUCCAGACGUAAACUGCAAAACCACAGGCUUCACCAAAGCCCUUCAAGCCAGCCCAUCUCCCAGCAGAAUAUCUGUCCCUUUUUCUCAAUACAGGGCUGGAAAUAA
Molecule: long non-coding RNA, 879 nt
Filed under: Falco tinnunculus (common kestrel)
Lineage: Eukaryota; Metazoa; Chordata; Aves; Falconiformes; Falconidae
Description: lncRNA (ENSFTIG00000005168.1)
Source: RNAcentral